UGGACAAAUUAUUGUAUACUGUAUUCACGGCGUGAAACAUGGGACUACACUGUUUUUAAACGGAAAGUGAAUCAAUUAACAUAAUAGACUCCU
This 93-nucleotide microRNA precursor is filed under the name Nicotiana attenuata. Its description in RNAcentral is "MIR6152 microRNA precursor family". It matches the Rfam family "MIR6152 microRNA precursor family". The record is from Rfam by way of RNAcentral. Lineage: Eukaryota; Viridiplantae; Streptophyta; Magnoliopsida; Solanales; Solanaceae.